Molecule: ribosomal RNA, 591 nt
Filed under: Asparagopsis taxiformis
Lineage: Eukaryota; Rhodophyta; Florideophyceae; Bonnemaisoniales; Bonnemaisoniaceae
Description: eukaryotic LSU rRNA
Rfam family: Eukaryotic large subunit ribosomal RNA
Source: RNAcentral
UUGUAAUGUGAGCAGCCUGGGUGCGUCAGUGCAGGUAAGUGACAUGAAAAUGUUCGCCGUGGAGGGUGAGAGCCCCGUCCAGCCUGCACAGGGCGUGCCGUACAGGGCUGUCUCGAAUGAGUCGGGUAGCUUGGGAAUGCUGCUCUAAGAUCGGUGGUAAAUUUCAUCGAAGGCUAAAUACUGCUGGAAGACCGAUAGUGAACAAGUACCGUGAGGGAAAGAUGAAAAGCACUUUGAAAAGAGGGUGAAAAGAAUCUGAAACCGUUGUGAGGGAAGCGGAUUGCGUUGCAGUAACUGUGGGCGCCGGUGUGUUCAGCCUGUUUCGGCGGGUGUAGUGGCACCGGUGGCUCCGUCUGCUGUGGGUUUGUGGUGGCUGAUUGCAAGGCUGCUGCGGACUGAGGGCUCCGUGCUGCUUUGCGGCGGCACGUGAGGACGGCAGGGUGACGACGCGAUACGACCCGUCUUGAAACACGGACCAAGGAGUCUAGCACAGCUGCGAGUCUGAGGGUGUCGAAGCCUGUGGGCGAAGUGAAAGCGAAAGAUGGCGGUAAUUCCAUAUUUUCAGAAUGACAAAGUUGUUGCAAUUUGGGG